UACGGGGGGGGCAAGCGUUGUUCGGAAUUAUUGGGCGUAAAGGGUUCGUAGGCGGUCGACUCAGUCAGACGUGAAAUCCCUCGGCUUAACCGGGGAACUGCGUCUGAUACUGGUUGGCUUGAGUGCAGGAGAGGAAUGCGGAAUUCCAGGUGUAGCGGUGAAAUGCGUAGAUAUCUGGAGGAACACCGGUGGCGAAGGCGGCAUUCUGGACUGUAACUGACGCUGAGGAGCGAAAGCCAGGGGAGCAAACGGG
RNAcentral lists this ribosomal RNA (253 nucleotides) under uncultured bacterium. Its description in RNAcentral is "partial 16S ribosomal RNA". It matches the Rfam family "Bacterial small subunit ribosomal RNA", at positions 524 to 776 of the family's 1533-position model. The record is from RNAcentral.